CAGACCUCUAAUCGGAAAAGACUACCCGCUGAGUUUAAGCAUAUCACUAAGCGGAGGAGAAGAAACUAACCAGGAUUUCCCUAGUAACGGCGAGCGAACCGGAAAGAGCCCAGCUUGAAAAUCGUGGUGCCUCGUACCUCGAAUUGUAGUCUGGAGAAGGUCCCUCUGCGACGCGCCGGACCCAAGUUCCCUGGAAAGGGACGUCAGAGAGGGUGACAACCCCGUCGAGUCCGAAAUGCGUCGCUCCACGAGGACCUGUCUGCGAGUCGGGCUGUUUGGGAAUGCAGCCCUAAGCGGGUGGUAAAUUCCAUCCAAGGCUAAAUAUUGGCAAGAGACCGAUAGCGAACAAGUACCGCGAGGGAAAGA
Molecule: ribosomal RNA, 366 nt
Filed under: Plagiothecium undulatum
Lineage: Eukaryota; Viridiplantae; Streptophyta; Bryopsida; Hypnales; Plagiotheciaceae
Also listed under: 5 other names
Description: eukaryotic LSU rRNA
Rfam family: Eukaryotic large subunit ribosomal RNA
Source: RNAcentral